CAAUAGCUUCAAGUCUGUCUAUUUUCACCAUAUAGGCUUCUAGAGACUUUCUUAGGAAGUAUUAUAAUCUUAUCUCUUUAGAUUAUUCCUUACUAAUCUACAGUUAAGUAGUAGUAAAUAGCACUAAUUAGUAGUAUUUUACUACUACUAGUACUAUUUACUACUACUUAACUAUAGAUUAGUAAGGAAUAAUCUAAAGAAAUGAGAUUAUAAUACUUCUUAAAAAAGUCUCCAGAAGCCUAUAUAGUGAAAAUAGACAGACUUAAAGCUAUUG
Molecule: microRNA precursor, 274 nt
Filed under: Colletotrichum orbiculare MAFF 240422
Lineage: Eukaryota; Fungi; Ascomycota; Sordariomycetes; Glomerellales; Glomerellaceae
Description: microRNA MIR821
Source: RNAcentral